RNAcentral lists this ribosomal RNA (253 nucleotides) under uncultured bacterium. Its description in RNAcentral is "partial 16S ribosomal RNA". It matches the Rfam family "Bacterial small subunit ribosomal RNA", at positions 524 to 776 of the family's 1533-position model. The record is from RNAcentral.
UACGUAGGGGGCUAGCGUUGUCCGGAAUCAUUGGGCGUAAAGAGCGUGUAGGCGGCUCGGUAAGUCCGCUGUAAAAGUCAAAGGCUCAACCUUUGAAUGUCAGUGGAUACUGCCGGGCUAGAGUCCGGAAGAGGCGAGUGGAACUCCUGGUGUAGCGGUGGAAUGCGCAGAUAUCAGGAAGAACACCAAUGGCGAAGGCAGCUCGCUGGGACGUGACUGACGCUGAGACGCGAAAGCGUGGGGAGCAAACAGG